GCAGAAGGCAGCAAUAGGGAGAGAUGGAGGCAAAUUUCCUGCACUAAAUGNGGAAAAGAGAGGACUGGUAAUUGGAUGAAAAUAAUGCAGGAAAACAGUAAAUAAGUGACACUGCAAUCUAGAUCUGGCUUGGAAGAUAAGGGCAAGGUGGAGAACACCCCAGCAGACCAAGAAGUAAUCUUAGCUGAUCAGCCAGAAAGACCUAAUGGUGCAUUCAGUUCUUCGAGGAGAGAGUGAACGACCCUGAAGGAAGAAAGAGAAAGUCAAUGUCUCCAAAUGGAUUGUGCCUCCUAUUUACAGUGGCAUUUGGGGCAAGCCAUCCAUAAGUCCCCACGGAAGCNUAAACAUGCUCCAUGGUUGUUGUUUUUCCUUCUCCCCUUUCUCUGCAAUAACAGGAUGUAGCACAUGUACAGUAGCGAUGGAAGGAGAGACUGCUCUGCUUCUUACCUUCAUGUCAUUUGGGGCCUGAAAUCUCCCCAGAUGCUUUUUAGUUCACAAGGGGAAAUGGCUACAUCUCCAGUUACCAAGUACAGAUGUGCACAAACCUAA
This 549-nucleotide long non-coding RNA is filed under the name Salvator merianae (Argentine black and white tegu). Its description in RNAcentral is "lncRNA (ENSSMRG00000005867.1)". Lineage: Eukaryota; Metazoa; Chordata; Lepidosauria; Squamata; Teiidae. The record is from RNAcentral.